Molecule: unclassified non-coding RNA, 355 nt
Filed under: soil metagenome
Description: partial contains 5.8S ribosomal RNA, internal transcribed spacer 2, and large subunit ribosomal RNA
Rfam family: 5.8S ribosomal RNA (bases 1-120)
Source: RNAcentral
GAUGAAGAACGUAGCGAAAUGCGAUAAGUAGUGUGAAUUGCAGAAUUCAGUGAAUCAUCGAGUCUUUGAACGCACAUUGCGCCUUCUAGUAUUCUGGGAGGCAUGCCUGUUUGAGCGUCAUUAAACCUCUCUCAAGUAUGAUUACUUGGAUGUGAAGGAAGAGUACCUUAAACUUAAGGAGUGUUCUCCUUUGAAAUUGAUUAGCAGAUGGUAAUGUUAUUAAAUCCCUGAUGUUGUAAGAAAUAACAGUGGUUUUGUAGACUAUUAUCUAGCUUUAAAUUAUAAUUUUUAUUAUGGUUGACCUCAAAUCAGGUAAGGAUACCCGCUGAACUUAAGCAUAUCAAUAAGCGGAGGA